AAAUUGAAGAGUUUGAUCAUGGCUCAGAUUGAACGCUGGCGGCAGGCCUAACACAUGCAAGUCGAACGGUAACAGGAAGCAGCUUGCUGCUUUGCUGACGAGUGGCGGACGGGUGAGUAAUGUCUGGGAAACUGCCUGAUGGAGGGGGAUAACUACUGGAAACGGUGGCUAAUACCGCAUAACGUCGCAAGACCAAAGAGGGGGACCUUCGGGCCUCUUGCCAUCAGAUGUGCCCAGAUGGGAUUAGCUUGUUGGUGAGGUAACGGCUCACCAAGGCGACGAUCCCUAGCUGGUCUGAGAGGAUGACCAGCCACACUGGAACUGAGACACGGUCCAGACUCCUACGGGAGGCAGCAGUGGGGAAUAUUGCACAAUGGGCGCAAGCCUGAUGCAGCCAUGCCGCGUGUAUGAAGAAGGCCUUCGGGUUGUAAAGUACUUUCAGCGGGGAGGAAGGUGUUGUGGUUAAUAACCACAGCAAUUGACGUUACCCGCAGAAGAAGCACCGGCUAACUCCGUGCCAGCAGCCGCGGUAAUACGGAGGGUGCAAGCGUUAAUCGGAAUUACUGGGCGUAAAGCGCACGCAGGCGGUCUGUCAAGUCGGAUGUGAAAUCCCCGGGCUCAACCUGGGAACUGCAUUCGAAACUGGCAGGCUUGAGUCUUGUAGAGGGGGGUAGAAUUCCAGGUGUAGCGGUGAAAUGCGUAGAGAUCUGGAGGAAUACCGGUGGCGAAGGCGGCCCCCUGGACAAAGACUGACGCUCAGGUGCGAAAGCGUGGGGAGCAAACAGGAUUAGAUACCCUGGUAGUCCACGCCGUAAACGAUGUCUACUUGGAGGUUGUGCCCUUGAGGCGUGGCUUCCGGAGCUAACGCGUUAAGUAGACCGCCUGGGGAGUACGGCCGCAAGGUUAAAACUCAAAUGAAUUGACGGGGGCCCGCACAAGCGGUGGAGCAUGUGGUUUAAUUCGAUGCAACGCGAAGAACCUUACCUGGUCUUGACAUCCACGGAAGUUUUCAGAGAUGAGAAUGUGCCUUCGGGAACCGUGAGACAGGUGCUGCAUGGCUGUCGUCAGCUCGUGUUGUGAAAUGUUGGGUUAAGUCCCGCAACGAGCGCAACCCUUAUCCUUUGUUGCCAGCGG
RNAcentral lists this ribosomal RNA (1134 nucleotides) under Salmonella enterica subsp. enterica serovar Heidelberg str. N15757. RNAcentral describes it as "bacterial SSU rRNA". It matches the Rfam family "Bacterial small subunit ribosomal RNA", at positions 1 to 1124 of the family's 1533-position model. Lineage: Bacteria; Pseudomonadati; Pseudomonadota; Gammaproteobacteria; Enterobacterales; Enterobacteriaceae. The record is from RNAcentral.